RNAcentral lists this long non-coding RNA (649 nucleotides) under Medicago truncatula (barrel medic). Its description in RNAcentral is "long non-coding RNA (MTRU_LNC006025)". Lineage: Eukaryota; Viridiplantae; Streptophyta; Magnoliopsida; Fabales; Fabaceae. The record is from RNAcentral.
AGAACACAAACUACCUCUCCAGAGGCAGAGGAACAGCAGCGGGGACGACCGCGACUAAUCCAAUCAGGCACCAUAAUCAGUCCAUACACUUUCUAGUGGUUAAUCAGUCCUAAUAUUAAGGUUAUUAUCAACAAGAUCAUGCAUCACCAUCGCAUGAAAUAGCCACAAGACUGAGAAAUCAAUAAUGAAAUAUCUAUCCAAUCAUACAUUAUAUUUUAGAAAUCACCAAUAACAAGCAACCAAAUCACACAAACUUUCUAUGAAAUUCAAAUUCAGCACAACAUAACCAAAAACCCUAUAUAUUACCUCCUCCAAUACCAUGUCAAUACACCAGAAGCAAAAUAUUGACACCAUUUCAAUACACCAAUAACAUAACCAAAACCUUGUAUAUUGCAGCUUCACUGGGGCGUGAUGGUUGAUGCUAUUCCUUGAUCAUGAUUUUAAUUUCUUGUUGUCCUUUACGAUGUCCUUUCUUUGAUGGUUUAUUGGUGACAUCAUCCUGUUGUUCUAUUUCAACAUCGAGUGUGAUUUCUUUGAUUAAAAAUGUUACAUAUUCUAAAUGGAUUAGAUUCAAGUCAGAAGUUCAAAAGGAUGACCCUAUACAAACGGUACUCAGCAAUCUACUUUAGAUUUUAUGUUUAUUAGUACC